UUUCGUUAUGAUAAAUUAAUAUAUAGCUUGAAAACAUUUUUUUUACUUUUUUAUUAAAUUAUUUGCUACUUUUUAUUGUUUGAAAUUAUUUUUAAUU
Long non-coding RNA from Rhagoletis zephyria (snowberry fruit fly), 97 nucleotides. RefSeq lists it as uncharacterized. The record is from RefSeq and is a predicted model, not a curated record. NCBI's taxonomy places the organism in Eukaryota, Metazoa, Arthropoda, Insecta, Diptera, Tephritidae.